RNAcentral lists this ribosomal RNA (904 nucleotides) under Bacillus safensis. RNAcentral's name for it is "bacterial SSU rRNA". It matches the Rfam family "Bacterial small subunit ribosomal RNA", at positions 37 to 899 of the family's 1533-position model. The record is from RNAcentral. Lineage: Bacteria; Bacillati; Bacillota; Bacilli; Caryophanales; Bacillaceae.
CGGGGGCGGUCGCUAUACAUGCAGUCGAGCGGACAGAAGGGAGCUUGCUCCCGGAUGUUAGCGGCGGACGGGUGAGUAACACGUGGGUAACCUGCCUGUAAGACUGGGAUAACUCCGGGAAACCGGAGCUAAUACCGGAUAGUUCCUUGAACCGCAUGGUUCAAGGAUGAAAGACGGUUUCGGCUGUCACUUACAGAUGGACCCGCGGCGCAUUAGCUAGUUGGUGGGGUAAUGGCUCACCAAGGCGACGAUGCGUAGCCGACCUGAGAGGGUGUCCAGCCCAUACUGGGACUGAACCACGGCCCAAAAUUUAUACGGGAGCAGCAGUAGGGAAUCUUUCCGCAUUGACGAAGUCUGACGGAACACCGCCGCGUGAGUAAUGAAGUUUUCGGAUCGUAAAGCUCUGUUGUUAGGGAAGAACAAGUGCGAGAUAACUGCCUCGCACCCUUGAACGGUACUUAACAGAAAGCCACGGCCUAACCUACGUGCCAGCAAGCGCGCGGUAAUAACGUAGGUGGGCAAGCGGUUGUCCGGAAUUAUUGGGCGUAAAGGGCUCGCAGGCGGUUUCCUUAAGUCUGAUGUGAAAGCCCCCGCUCUCAACCGGGGAGGGUCAUUGGAAACUGGAAACUUGAGUGCAAGAAGAAGGAGAAGUGGAAUUCCACGUUGUAGCGGUGAAAUGCGUAGAGAUGUGGAGGAACACCAGUGGCGAAGCCGACUCCUCUGGUCUGUAACUGACGCCUGAGGAGCGAAAGCGUGGGGAGCGAACAGGAUUAGAUACCUGGUAGUCCACGCCGUAAACGAUGAGUGCUAAGUGUUAGGGGUUUCCGCCCCUUAGUGCUGCAGCUACGCAUAAGCACUCGCCUGGGGAGUACGUCGCAGAUGAAUAGAAAAAUUAUAUAAGAAA